Molecule: ribosomal RNA, 2131 nt
Filed under: Legionella pneumophila
Lineage: Bacteria; Pseudomonadati; Pseudomonadota; Gammaproteobacteria; Legionellales; Legionellaceae
Also listed under: 1 other name
Description: partial 23S ribosomal RNA
Rfam family: Bacterial large subunit ribosomal RNA
Source: RNAcentral
UUAUAUGGUCAAGAAGAGAAGCGCAAACGGUGGAUGCCUUGGCAGUAAGAGGCGAAGAAGGACGUGGAAUCCUGCGAAAAGCUAUGGGGAGCUGGAAACGAGCGAUGAGCCAUAGAUGUCCGAAUGGGGGAACCCGGCUGCAGCGAUGCGGUCAUUUGCAUUUGAAUACAUAGGAUGCAAAGGCGAACUCGGGGAACUGAAACAUCUAAGUACCCGAAGGAAAAGAAAUCAAGAGAGAUUCUCCAAGUAGCGGCGAGCGAACGGGGAGGAGCCUGGCGUGAUUUAUUAUUGAACUGAGUAGAACAAUUUGGGAAAGUUGGCGAUAGAGGGUGAAAGCCCCGUAUACGAAGGUUUGAUGAGGAACUAGGCACGCGAGCAAGUAGGCCGGGACACGUGAAAUCCUGGUUGAAGAUGGGUGGACCAUCAUCCAAGGCUAAAUACUACUUACUGACCGAUAGUGAACCAGUACCGUGAGGGAAAGGUGAAAAGAACCCCGGAGAGGGGAGUGAAAUAGAAUCUGAAACCGUUUGCGUACAAGCAGUGGGAGCAUGGUUUAGGCUGUGUGACUGCGUACCUUUUGUAUAAUGGGUCAGCGAGUUACUUUCAGUGGCGAGGUUAACUGAAUAAGGGAGCCGUAGAGAAAUCGAGUCUGAAUAGGGCGAUAGUCGCUGGGAGUAGACCCGAAACCGGGCGAUCUAGCCAUGUGCAGGAUGAAGGUUGGGUAACACCAACUGGAGGUCCGAACCGGGUAAUGUUGAAAAAUUAUCGGAUGACGUGUGGCUAGGAGUGAAAGGCUAAUCAAGCCCGGAGAUAGCUGGUUCUCCCCGAAAGCUAUUUAGGUAGCGCCUCGUGAAUGAUUACUGGGGGUAGAGCACUGUUUCGGCUAGGGGGCUGUCAUGGCUUACCAAACCGAUGCAAACUCCGAAUACCGGCUAAUUGAAUCACGGGAGACACACGGCGGGUGCUAACGUCCGUCGUGGAGAGGGAAACAACCCAGACCGCCAGCUAAGGUCCCCAAGUACUAGUUAAGUGGGAAACGAUGUGGGAAGGCAUAGACAGCCAGGAGGUUGGCUUAGAAGCAGCCACCCUUUAAAGAAAGCGUAAUAGCUCACUGGUCGAGUCGGCCUGCGCGGAAGAUGUAACGGGGCUAAAACUAGUCACCGAAGCUGCGGAUGUGCGCGAAGGCGCACGUGGUAGGGGAGCGUUCUGUAGGCUGAUGAAGGUGCAUUGAGAAGUGUGCUGGAGGUAUCAGAAGUGCGAAUGCUGACAUGAGUAACGAUAAUGUGGGUGAAAAGCCCACACGCCGGAAGUCCCAGGUUUCCUGCACGACGUUAAUCGGAGCAGGGUGAGUCGGCCCCUAAGGCGAGGCUGAAGAGCGUAGUCGAUGGGAACCAGGUUAAUAUUCCUGGACUUUUUAUAAGUGGUGAAGUGGGGACGAAGAAGGCUAGGUGAGCCAGGCGUUGGUUGUCCUGGUACUUGCAUGUAGGGGGGAAGACUUGGCAAAUCCGGUUUUCCAUAACUCUGAGGUGCGAAGUGGUUCUGACCUUUUGGUACAGAGAAGUCAUUGAUGCCCGGCUUCCAGGAAAAGCUGCUAGCCAUAACUUAUAGAGAACCGUACCGCAAACCGACACAGGUGGACAGGUAGAGAAUACUAAGGCGCUUGAGAGAACUCGGGUGAAGGAACUAGGCAAAAUGGUACCGUAACUUCGGGAGAAGGUACGCCCUUUCUGGUGAUGGGAUUUACUUUCAGAGCUGGAGAGGGCCGCAGAGACCAGGUGGCUGCGACUGUUUAUUAAAAACACAGCACUCUGCAAAUUCGUAAGAAGACGUAUAGGGUGUGACGCCUGCCCGGUGCCGGAAGGUUAAUUGAUGGGGUUAUCUUCGGAGAAGCUCUUGAUCGAAGCCCCGGUAAACGGCGGCCGUAACUAUAACGGUCCUAAGGUAGCGAAAUUCCUUGUCGGGUAAGUUCCGACCUGCACGAAUGGCGUAACGAUGGCCACACUGUCUCCACCCGAGACUCAGUGAAAUUGAAAUCGCUGUGAAGAUGCAGUGUACCCGCGGCUAGACGGAAAGACCCCGUGAACCUUUACUAUAGUUUUGCACUGGACUUUGAUGAUGACUGUGUAGGAUA